CGACGAGCCAGUCGUACCGAGGGCGGGAGACUUUCGGUUUCGGUUUCGCUGAGGCAGGGAGCGCGGCGCAAUCCGGCACCCUCGCGAACUGGGGGUCGUGCUGGAUCAGUAGAUAUUCCGGGCGAACGUGGUGUUACAGGACACAUCGCGCUGCCAGUUCUCACAGAGCAGCCGUGGGACUGUCUGCCUGAAGCAAGUUCUCCCGCCUCCCAGCUCUGGUCCGCAAGAUGAGUUUCCCGGGCCACAAGCAGUCGCCUCUCAGCCAGUUGGACAUCGUCGAUAUUUACCGACACGACCUGAUUGAAGAUAAACGAUUCAGCCAGUCCGACCCCCAUGUCUUCGUGGUGUUGGGUGCCUCGUGAGGUGACCAGAAUUGCAU
Molecule: long non-coding RNA, 379 nt
Organism: Pristis pectinata (smalltooth sawfish)
Lineage: Eukaryota; Metazoa; Chordata; Chondrichthyes; Rhinopristiformes; Pristidae
Exons: 4
Source: RefSeq, a predicted model, not a curated record